UUUAACUCUUUCGUAACGCACAAGGAUACUUGAAAAAAAAUUAAUAAAUAAAAAAUAGAAAUGUUUCAGAAAAUCACCAUGCAUUUUCAUAUAAUGCUUUUACUUGGAAACUCCUAGGGCUAGCUACAUAUGGUUUCUAUAUAUAGCUUCUUCAUUAAUAGCUUCUUCAUUACUCAUUCUACAAAAAUAUUUGUAUUAAUUUUCUCUCAUAAAAAAGCUUGUUUAUCAUUGAUAGAUAUAUCUUUAAUUCUAAACUUGAAUUUUAUAAGCUAUUUUGGUGAAUUGCACCAUGAGUUCUAACAAUCCAAACAUUCAGCAAGUUCUUUGUCCAACCACAAAGCCAUCAUCAGCAUCAUCAUCCUCUACCUCUACUGGAGUUAAACUUCCAACCAUGGGGGAGGUCUUUGGAAUUAGGAAAAAGUAGACAAAUUAAUAUUUUCACCAAUGGGUUUUAAUAGAUCGAUGUUGUUAUUCAUUACACCAUAUACCUAUGUUUUCUUUUAUUCUUUGAUUUCAAUUUGUUGUUUUUAUAUGUUUAUUCUUCUAUAGUUGUAGUAUUUUUUUUGUUUAAACGUACCUUCUUUUUUUUAUUGUAUUAAUUUGAAUCUAUUUUUGUACUUGUGCUCUAUAUCAUAAAAUGUUGUAACAUCAUUGAUUGUAUUUACUACUACUUUUAAUUUUCCAUCUAUCUAUAUAUUCCGA
This 702-nucleotide long non-coding RNA is filed under the name Trifolium pratense (red clover). RNAcentral's name for it is "long non-coding RNA (TPRA_LNC013276)". The record is from RNAcentral. Lineage: Eukaryota; Viridiplantae; Streptophyta; Magnoliopsida; Fabales; Fabaceae.